This 21-nucleotide non-coding RNA is filed under the name Caenorhabditis elegans. Lineage: Eukaryota; Metazoa; Nematoda; Chromadorea; Rhabditida; Rhabditidae. The record is from RNAcentral.
UUUCACAAUGUUUAUUGAUAA